GAAGAAAAUGCAUUUUAUCCAUUGGGAAUUGGCUGGAUAAUGAAAAGUAAGUGUUACCUACCAGAAUGGAUGCAGAUGGUUGCAGAUGGGGAUGUUUGCCAAAAAAAAAAAGUUGUUCCUUUUGUUUAAAGACCACAUUUUGUUUUCUUUUUCGUGCAAAGCAAGACCAGAAAUGCAUUUGAAAAUUAAAUGGGGUUAUUUUGAUUUCAUGUUACUUGCAGAAACAAUAUCAAGGCCUUAACAUCUGCGUGCUGACUUCACCAGUUACUCCACAGCCAACUUCCUCCAAACACAUGUGUUUAUGGGUGUGGGUCUUUCUCUCUGGAGCCCCUCUUCAUAUCUGCUCCAGGGAGCAACUGCAGCUUAUUUGAAUUCAAAGGGUGGGGCUACACGUUCAGUUAGCAAACUUAAGAAAACACGAGUUUCAUAUCUGAGAGACGCCAGAGACAUUGAGCCAACCAGAUAGACAGACAUGGCCCUUUAGCCACACAUCAAACUCAAGAUAACUGCCACAGAGUACCAGACGGUGGACGUCAUCUGGCCAAACCAAGCGAGACAACCUGCUGCCGUUGGCUUGGAGCUUUUACAGUCAGACUAGGCUACAUACCGCAAGUCAGUCAUGGAGAUCAGUACGGCUCCCGUCCCGAUCACCCACUCACUAGUCCCGAUGAUCCUAACUGCUCCAGAUCUACAGACCUCAACAAGGAUUUUACACAAUGACACCUCCAGUAACAUCACAGACACCAUGGAGGACCCCACGGUCGGUAUGGCUUCCGGUGCUGAAUCAGUGGACGCCAUUCUACUGGGAGUUUCUGUAAUAGCAGUUGUUGUGAUGAUACUGCUAAUUAUAAUAGUGGUUCUCCGCUUCAUGGCCCAUCAGAAAGGUACAUAUUACACCCAUGAGGAGGCUUUAGCAUUUAAGAGUGACCCUGAGGUGCAGGAGGUCACCGAAGAUCCGGAAGAUCCAGAAGAAGAGGAGCCUUAGUAUCUUCUGGCGGGAAGCCUUUUGGGACGUUUCCUGUGUGAAAUCACUAUGAGCGACAGAAGGAUCUGUCGUGGUUCCUCUUCCUUUUUGCUCUCCAAUCACAUAUGCCUUUUCCAACAGAUGUCCUUUUCUGAUGGCUUCACACUCAACCACUCCAAAACUAAAAUAUAUUUCCAUGUGGAGAAGCACUUGUGUGCUAAUUAUUUUACUUUGUGUGUUAUAGAGUACUUAAGAUUAUAUUAAAAAAAUGUUUUAUACUGUAAACUUUUAGCCUUAUGAAUUAACACAUUAAUGUCUCCAUGUAGAAUCUUUUAUAUUAACAUACCAUGAAGUUCUUUGCAAAUAUUAAGUGUGUUUUUCAUAAAUUAUUUAAUUUACGCCAACUUUAGUGACUGGUUGACAUGUAUCUCUUUGUAGAAUCUUCUUUGCAAAGAUUAAGACGCCAGAAUUGGCAGCCUGAAUCAAACACCUCCACUUGACUCAUUAUCCAGGCAGUUGUCAAAAGCUACUCUGAAGGUUGUCAUCAUGUAUGCCAGUUGUUUUGGAACAUCUGUAGUAACUCAAAAAAUAUUCACAGGUGGAAGAAGAGUGAGAGAGCCUUCGGCAAAUGUCCAUAUUUCACAUAGUGAAAAUGUUGACGUUUUUUUUACUCACCCAUGUCAUUCCAAUUCCUCUCUUUUUCUGUGGAACACAACAUUAGACGUUCAGCAGAAUUUUUAUGCUGCUUCGUUCCAUAUAACAUGUAAAUAAAGUUCCAAAAAUGACAAUAAAAGCAACAUGGGAGAGAGUAAAUAAUGACAUAAAUAUACAAUUCAUACAAAUAAAUUUUUUUUUAAAGACUUGCAUUAAAUUGAUCAAAAGUGACAGUAAAGACAUUUAUGAUGUUACAAAAGAUUUACAUUUGCAAAUAAAUGCUGUUCAUUUGAAUUUCCUUUUCUUCAAAAAUUCCUGGAAAAAAAAGUCCCACAGUUUCCACAUGAUCCUUUCUGAAGGAUCAUGUGACACUGAAGACUGGAGUAAUGGCUGAUGAAAAUUCAGCUUUGCCAUCACAGGAAUAAAUUACAUUUUAAAAUAUAUUCCAAUACAAAACAGCCAUUAUACAUUUUACAGCCUUGGUGAGCAUAAGAGGCUUCAUAAAAGAAAAAGAAAAAAAUCUUCACCAACCUCAAACUUUUGAACAGUUAGUUGUUGUUUUUUCUUCUUUCUCAGAUGUAAUCAUAUGAACCAAAGAACAACUUUUUUAUUAUCUUUGUGGUUUGUUUGUCUAUCUAUUUAAGCUUUAUUUUAAGCUACAGUAUGUUUUGCUUCAGUUAUGAAUAAAAUGAAUGAUGCAGCAAAUGAUUGAUUUAAAUUAAUUCUUGAAACAUUUUGCAUGGGAACAGAUAUAAGUAAAUACAUAUUAACAUUCUUGUAAUAUUUAUUGUAGAAAUCCUUGACAGAUCACGCUGCUGACACCAGUGAAGUUAAAAUAAAGCUAAAAACGGAG
Molecule: long non-coding RNA, 2471 nt
Organism: Sinocyclocheilus grahami
Lineage: Eukaryota; Metazoa; Chordata; Actinopteri; Cypriniformes; Cyprinidae
Source: Ensembl